UGCUGGGGAGUUCCUGCCCUGAGCAGGAAUCUUCUCAGCGUUACAGCAGGCAAUCCACCAUGUACACUGCACAGCAGAUGAAGUAGUGAAGUGACUGCUCACUGCUGUAUAAAGCUUCUCCCUGCCCGGUCACCAGCUGACCCUGCAUUAGCCACGCCCCCCGAUGAUAGUGAGAGGGGUUACACAGCAGGGGAGUACACGGGGAUUUACCACCCAUCUGCACAGUCCGAGUCUGAGAGGCUUUUGAUAAAGAAAUAAUAUUGUCGAAAUGCGUCAAGUCACGUGAUGAGUGAUGCUGCUGAUGGGACUAGAUUAUGCUUUGUUAGUGAUGUGCCUUCUGUUUCCUUUCUAUGGCCAAAGGCCUACAGUGAGCUGACUGGUUACUAACCGACAGAGCAGUGGCACAAGCAUGCGGCAGUUUAUAGCACAUCUAUGAAACAUUGCUGCACAACAGUGACAGACAUGAAAAGUGGUGCAAGAUGGAAUUGUCAUUGGGUCAUAUAACAAACCAAGCACAUCAAUGACAGUGAAUUACACUUUUGUGGCUGAAGUGCUUGCUUUGUUUGGCCCCCACAAAACAAUUUUUUGGAAGGACUUUCUCUGAUCACUAAUAAGAAGGUUGAUGAUGAGAGUGUUAAUUACAUUAUAAUCUUGUAAAAUAAAGUUCAUGAACUCACCGCAAAUGAUGUAACAUGGAGUAGGUGUCUAGAUGUCUAAUGUCCCUACCUCUAUUAACUUUGUCUUCACAAAUGGAGCAGAUGACUACACAAGCAUUGUCAUGAUUUGGGUAAAAAUAAUCCCACACCCAACAGGUGACUUAUUUGGUUUUAUGCCCAGGCAUCACAAUGGUUUUCUUUUUAUCACGGGCAAGAACUGCAGCCACUGGUGGCUGACUUACACAAACAUCAUAAUAAUCCAGAUCUUCAGUGUCAGAUAGUAGUAGUACACACAUAUCCUUCUCCUCAUGUUCCACUUCCACGGAAGCACCCUUCAUUUCUAUUAUGUCCUCAUCAUCAUCUUUAAUUAUACUGCUCCCCACAUGUGCAGAUGGUGCAGAAAUAGUGGAAGGAGGACAGUGUGAGAAAUUUCAGACUCACACAUAGCAAUCGUGGACACCCCUAAAUGUUCCUCAGGAAUGUGAGACAGUUCUGAAUGCACAGUUUGUUCUACUGCCUUAGUGGUUUUCAUUCUUUUGACACCUGUUCUAGACUCUGAGUGAAAAAUUCUUGCAUCAUCAUGAGCUGAAGAAGAUGCCUCACUGACAGUUGCAGAAUCACCACUUGAGUCCUUCGUUUUCUUGUGUGGUGAAUGGCAUAUUACCAAUUUCAUGUUUCUCUGCAGCUAACUUUCGUUUUUAUGUUCUUUUCUU
Molecule: long non-coding RNA, 1369 nt
Organism: Pseudophryne corroboree (corroboree frog)
Lineage: Eukaryota; Metazoa; Chordata; Amphibia; Anura; Myobatrachidae
Exons: 3
Source: RefSeq, a predicted model, not a curated record